GGUGGCUCAGUGGUAGAGCACUUGCCUUGCAUGCUCGAGGCCCUGGGUUCGAUUCCCCAGCACCA
Molecule: transfer RNA, 65 nt
Filed under: Dipodomys ordii (Ord's kangaroo rat)
Lineage: Eukaryota; Metazoa; Chordata; Mammalia; Rodentia; Heteromyidae
Rfam family: tRNA
About the family: Transfer RNA (tRNA) molecules are approximately 80 nucleotides in length. Their secondary structure includes four short double-helical elements and three loops (D, anti-codon, and T loops). Further hydrogen bonds mediate the characteristic L-shaped molecular structure. tRNAs have two regions of fundamental functional importance: the anti-codon, which is responsible for specific mRNA codon recognition, and the 3' end, to which the tRNAs corresponding amino acid is attached (by aminoacyl-tRNA synthetases). tRNAs cope with the degeneracy of the genetic code in two manners: having more than one tRNA (with a specific anti-codon) for a particular amino acid; and 'wobble' base-pairing, i.e. permitting non-standard base-pairing at the 3rd anti-codon position.
Source: Rfam by way of RNAcentral